RNAcentral lists this ribosomal RNA (498 nucleotides) under Bacillus sp. M8-C8. RNAcentral's name for it is "bacterial SSU rRNA". It matches the Rfam family "Bacterial small subunit ribosomal RNA", at positions 1 to 488 of the family's 1533-position model. The record is from RNAcentral. Lineage: Bacteria; Bacillati; Bacillota; Bacilli; Caryophanales; Bacillaceae.
UUGAGCUUGAUCCUGGCUCAGGACGAACGCUGGCGGCGUGCCUAAUACAUGCAAGUCGAGCGGACUAAUGGGAGCUUGCUCCCUGAGGUCAGCGGCGGACGGGUGAGUAACACGUGGGCAACCUGCCUGUAAGACUGGGAUAACUCCGGGAAACCGGGGCUAAUACCGGAUAAUCCGUUCCACCUCAUGGUGGAGCGGUAAAAGAUGGCCUCUGGCUAUCACUUACAGAUGGGCCCGCGGCGCAUUAGCUAGUUGGUAAGGUAACGGCUUACCAAGGCGACGAUGCGUAGCCGACCUGAGAGGGUGAUCGGCCACACUGGGACUGAGACACGGCCCAGACUCCUACGGGAGGCAGCAGUAGGGAAUCUUCCGCAAUGGACGAAAGUCUGACGGAGCAACGCCGCGUGAGUGAUGAAGGUUUUCGGAUCGUAAAGCUCUGUUGUUAGGGAAGAACAAGUGCCGUUUGAAUAAGGCGGCACCUGACGGUACCAACCAGAA